This 464-nucleotide ribosomal RNA is filed under the name uncultured bacterium. Its description in RNAcentral is "partial 16S ribosomal RNA". It matches the Rfam family "Bacterial small subunit ribosomal RNA", at positions 338 to 795 of the family's 1533-position model. The record is from RNAcentral.
CCUACGGGAGGCAGCAGUAGGGAAUUUUCGACAAUGAGCGAAAGCUUGACGGAGCGACGCAGCGUGCACGAUGAAGGUCUUCGGAUUGUAAAGUGCUGUUAUAGGGGAAGAACAUUUGCCGUAGGAAAUGAUUUAAAACUGACGGUACUUUGUCAGGAAGCGAUGGCUAACUAUGUGCCAGCAGCCGCGGUAAUACGUAGGUCGCAAGCGUUUUCCGGAAUCAUUGGGCGUAAAGAGUUCGUAGGCUGCUUGUUGAGUCUGUGGUUAAAGGCCAGGGCUCAAACCCUGCUCGGUGUGGAUACCAGCAGACUAGAGGUAGAUAGAGGAUAGCGGAAUUCCAUGUGUAGCGGUGAAAUGCGUAGAUAUAUGGAAGAACACCAGAGGCGAAGGCGGCGUACUGGGUCGAUACUGACGCUGAGGGACGAAAGCGUGGGGAGCAAACAGGAUUAGAUACCCUGGUAGUC